Molecule: non-coding RNA, 67 nt
Organism: Hippopotamus amphibius kiboko
Lineage: Eukaryota; Metazoa; Chordata; Mammalia; Artiodactyla; Hippopotamidae
Source: the annotation of a RefSeq genome assembly
AGAGGUUUAGGUUACCUAGACCAAGAGCCUUCAAAGCUCCAAGCAAGUAUAUAUUACUUAAUCUCUG